RNAcentral lists this ribosomal RNA (171 nucleotides) under uncultured Fibrobacterales bacterium. RNAcentral's name for it is "partial 16S ribosomal RNA". It matches the Rfam family "Bacterial small subunit ribosomal RNA", at positions 335 to 523 of the family's 1533-position model. Lineage: Bacteria; Pseudomonadati; Fibrobacterota; Fibrobacteria; Fibrobacterales. The record is from RNAcentral.
ACCCCUACGGGAGGCAGCAGUAGGGAAUAUUGCACAAUGGGGGAAACCCUGAUGCAGCAACGCCACGUGUGGGAUGACGCAUUUCGGUGUGUAAACCACUGUCAGUUGGGACUAAAAUGAAUGUACCAUCAAAGGAAGCACCGGCUAACUUCGUGCCAGCAGCCGCGGUAA